This 468-nucleotide ribosomal RNA is filed under the name uncultured bacterium. RNAcentral describes it as "partial 16S ribosomal RNA". It matches the Rfam family "Bacterial small subunit ribosomal RNA", at positions 28 to 507 of the family's 1533-position model. The record is from RNAcentral.
GACGAACGCUGGCGGCGUGCUUAACACAUGCAAGUUGAACGGAAAGGCCCUGCUUUUGUGGGGUGCUCGAGUGGCGAACGGGUGAGUAACACGUGAGUAACCUGCCCUUGACUUUGGGAUAACUUCAGGAAACUGGGGCUAAUACCGGAUAGGAGCUCCUGCUGCAUGGUGGGGGUUGGAAAGUUUCGGCGGUUGGGGAUGGACUCGCGGCUUAUCAGCUUGUUGGUGGGGUAGUGGCUUACCAAGGCUUUGACGGGUAGCCGGCCUGAGAGGGCGACUGGCCACAUUGGGACUGAGAUACGGCCCAGACUCCUACGGGAGGCAGCAGUGGGGAAUAUUGCACAAUGGGCGGAAGCCUGAUGCAGCAACGCCGCGUGCGGGAUGACGGCCUUCGGGUUGUAAACCGCUUUCGCCUGUGACGAAGCGUGAGUGACGGUAAUGGGUAAAGAAGCACCGGCUAACUACGUG